This 227-nucleotide unclassified non-coding RNA is filed under the name uncultured fungus. Its description in RNAcentral is "sequence contains ITS1, 5.8S rRNA gene". The stretch from base 179 to 227 matches the Rfam family "5.8S ribosomal RNA", at positions 1 to 49 of the family's 154-position model. Lineage: Eukaryota; Fungi. The record is from RNAcentral.
UCUCCGUAGGUGAACCUGCGGAGGGAUCAUUACUGAGUGAGGGUUUAACCGCCCGACCUCCAACCCCAUGUGAACCGAAACCUGUUGCUUCGGGGGCGACCCUGCCGUUCGGCGCGGCGCCCCCGGGGUCAAUCAAACACUGCAUUCUCUGCGUCGGAGUAUUAGUAAAUCUAAUCAAAACUUUCAACAACGGAUCUCUUGGUUCUGGCAUCGAUGAAGAACGCAGC